CUAGUCUUAUCGGGGGAUCACUCGGCUCGU
Molecule: ribosomal RNA, 30 nt
Filed under: Rotylenchulus reniformis
Lineage: Eukaryota; Metazoa; Nematoda; Chromadorea; Rhabditida; Hoplolaimidae
Description: partial 5.8S ribosomal RNA
Source: RNAcentral